RNAcentral lists this ribosomal RNA (326 nucleotides) under uncultured eukaryote. RNAcentral's name for it is "partial 18S ribosomal RNA". It matches the Rfam family "Eukaryotic small subunit ribosomal RNA", at positions 1470 to 1796 of the family's 1831-position model. The record is from RNAcentral.
CCCUUAGAUGUCCUGGGUCGCACGCGCGCUACACUGAACGGAUCAGCGCGUUUUCCCUUCCCGAGAGGGACGGGUAACCUGCUGAACCCCGUUCGUGGUAGGGAUCGGGGCUUGCAAUUAUUCCCCGUGAACCAGGAAUGCCCAGUAAGUGCAAGUCAUAAGCUUGCGUUGAUUACGUCCCUGCCCUUUGUACACACCGCCCGUCGCUACUACCGAUUGAACGUUUUAGUGAGGUACUCGGACUGAGCCUCAGAAGAUUCACGUCUUUUGUGCUGCUCGGGAAGAUUCCCAAACUUGAGCGUUUAGAGGAAGUAAAAGUCGUAACA